This is a transfer RNA of Pseudogymnoascus sp. 05NY08, 102 nucleotides long. It matches the Rfam family "tRNA". From Rfam's summary of the family: Transfer RNA (tRNA) molecules are approximately 80 nucleotides in length. Their secondary structure includes four short double-helical elements and three loops (D, anti-codon, and T loops). Further hydrogen bonds mediate the characteristic L-shaped molecular structure. tRNAs have two regions of fundamental functional importance: the anti-codon, which is responsible for specific mRNA codon recognition, and the 3' end, to which the tRNAs corresponding amino acid is attached (by aminoacyl-tRNA synthetases). tRNAs cope with the degeneracy of the genetic code in two manners: having more than one tRNA (with a specific anti-codon) for a particular amino acid; and 'wobble' base-pairing, i.e. permitting non-standard base-pairing at the 3rd anti-codon position. Lineage: Eukaryota; Fungi; Ascomycota; Leotiomycetes; Thelebolales; Thelebolaceae. The record is from Rfam.
GCUCCAAUGGCGCAAUGGUAGCGCGCAAGACUUCUACUAAUGACUCUCGUCUAGUCAUGUAAAUCAAUCUUGAGGUUGAGGGUUCGAGCCCCUCUUGGAGUG